CUCUGUCUCUCUCACUGUCCACUCUGCCUGUCAAAAAAAAAAAAUACUUAAGUGAAAAUAUGAAACUUUCCAAUAUAUUCUGCAUGGUUAGCCUACGUCUGCUAACCAAAAACAGCAAAAGAAAGAAAAGUCCAAGAUUUCACAUUUUGAGCAUUACAUUUGGUCUGGCUUGCUUUAAGCUCUGCUUCCUAUCUACUGACUGUACUUCCUGUUGAGCUGCUGCAUUUGAUGUCACCCACAAUUUGCAUACACAGAUCUCGGUCACCAUGAUAGACCACUUGCCUGUGGCAGGCAGAGAGGCCACGAUGUUCCAGAGAGUUAGUCACUCAAUCUCUACUCAUUCAGUCUCUACCUUGCAGAGGCUUAGGGUACACAGAUGAACAAAUGCUGGUCCCCAGCUCAAGGGCUAGCUGUAUAGAGAGAGAAGCAGGAGUGGAAGGCAGCCGCUGCAGUAGAAUAUGAUGUGUGUGGCCAGAAGGGGGAGAGUUCUAAGGGUACAGAGGAGAAGCAUCUCAUCAUUGUGGGAUGGCAGAAGGUCACAGAACAUGGCCAGGAAUUUGCCGCUGCCUUAUUUAUGGUAACGCUAACUUUGGACAACAACCUCUCUCCCAUUCUAAUUCAAACCACUGGGUAGGGAUCAACCUCACCUUCAGCUUCAGGGAGUGUUUCCCAACCAGUAAGUUCCAGACCCCAGGCCAUCAGCGUCAGCGUGGAGCAGACAUCACAGAAGGCAAGAAAAAGAACAUGUGUCCUUUUUUCCAUUUGUUGAUUCCACUCUUCCUUCCACUGGCGUGAACAUGACACCCACUGCUUCACAGGAGGCCUACGGACAAUCAGGACACAGACCUGACCUGCAAGUCUGGCUGGCUUUGGCUUUAUACUUCUCGAAGGGAUCUCCUGAGACUGGCCAUAGCUCAAGAAACCUGAGAGCAGAAGGACUUUUUCCAGACUAAAAAUAGACUGCUACAGGCUGGGAGGCAGACAAGGAAGAGGGAGGCCAGGUUCCAAGAGUGGAGGGCAGAGGGAUUACCCUGUUUUCUGGCAUCGCUGUGGGGCAAGGCCCCAGAAAGGUACACAUUCAUUAAUAGCCAAGAGUACCCAGGCCUGAAGGAAUCAGGAAGACAGGACCACAGAUGCCACUGUGACUCUGUCUCAGCCCUGGUGACUACACCAAUGGCUUCCCUCUACCCCAGUGCUUUAACCCCUGGAAUGGUGUGGGGUUGUUCACAGGGUGAAGUUUAUCUUCACCACAUAGCCAAGGGUGCUUUCAUUCCCUAUCCCUACCCCUACUCCAUUCUACCUCCUUUCUGUAUCGAUAUUUUCCAAAGCAGGUGAUCAGAUCACUACCUAGGGGUUCCACCCAUAUCCUCAAAGUCUCUGGGUCCCAGAAAGCAGUGUUCUCAGCAAUGUCCUGGAGAGGAGAGGCUAAUCCAGACCCUCACUCCUGCCCAACUCCACUGGAGGCUCACCAAAUGAUGACUUUGGGAAUAGACAACCCAAGUAACACUCCAGGUCAAGUCAUCUGUGUAUCAGGUAUCAAAAAAAAAAACUUAUCUAGGUGACUCAGAGAUUACAGACUUUAUGCAACUGAUACAUAUCAGAGAGGAAAGAAAGGGCAGGUGACACCUUGAUUAAAGCUGGGUCAGGGUUUUCAUAAAAUAAGGGAAAGGGGAAUGCACAAACUUGUCAUUUUUGGCUGAGGUAGCUCUUCUUGACUUUAAUAAAAACUCCUGGUUUAAGGUCAUUUCUGUCUCUGUACCCCUUGCUAAAGGUCACUAGUGCAAUCCCAGUAGCACUGAAACAGUAUUUUCCAACAAGUACUUUUGCAAGCCUUGUAGCUUUUUAUCUCCUCAAAGUUUACAACAUAGAAGGGAUACACAGCUAAGGAAGAAGUAGUUGUGGAGUGAGAAGGCAGGGGGGAAAUUGGGAAUGCUGUCUUGUGGUUUUCAGUCCUUUCAUACUGGCAUCAUGGACUCCAUCACCAGUAAGAGUAUGUAGGAAAUGACCAGAGCCCUCCACACCGAGCUCUCCUGCGUGCAUUCCUGAAGAUCAUCAUUGCAGAUCCCUUCGAGGUCCUGGCUUCUUGCUCUGCUCAGGAAACCUCCCUACAUCUCUGCUCAGACAUAGGGUCAUCCUUGGUGGCUGUCUUUACUGGGGCCAAAAGACAAUAUUCACCUUUAUGAGCCACAGGGACGAGCAGAAAGAUCCAGAGACUGCUGAGCCCUGCCUAGCCCAGCUUUUGACUGCAGCCACUUUUUACCCUCCCUGGCUUCUCUUCCUGCCAGGUCAGGCUGCCGCCCUGGCCAGUUGAGUGAGCCCCACCUGCCUGUCCUCUGGGAUCCACACCAUCUUUUCCUCUCUCCAGCCACACUCAAGGCCACCAUCCUGCGUGGUUCCCUUAGGCCUGCUCACUGUUCUCCUGCUGGUCCUUCAAGGUCUCAGGUGCACUUUCACCCACCAGCCCUUCCCCCAUUUGCUCUCCUGCCGUCCUCCGUCAGGGUGUGGCAGUUCCAUCGGCAGAGCCCAGCAGCCCUCUGCUGGAGUUGGCAUCAGCUGGCCCAGUUGUUUCUACUGAUGUUGGAAAGGGCGUCGUGGAGACGCACUUGCAGAAACCCCAGGCUCGGAACGUGGAAAUGAACCUCUGCCCCCAGGACACAGAGGCCUGCCAUCUGCUCAAACAGAAGACACAUGCACCUGCCAACACUCUGCAUUUUCUAGUGGAGUGGCAUGUGUGGGGGGAGAAGAGGACCAUUUUUGGAUUCCCUGGAGUCUGUCUGUCCUCAGCUAUUUUACAGGUGGUUCUCCGUUACCAGUGGAACAAAGUCCAAGUUCUCUGCACAGCCUACAAGUCAUGAUGAGCCAAUGAAGUGGUGCUGGGCCAGGCACUCAGCUCUUGGUUUCUAGUGAUCAUUCCUGACCCAAGCCCUCUGAAAAAGAGCAAUGAACAGCAUACCGCACACCUGUGGUCCUCCUGGCCGGCUCCCAACCCCACCAAGUGGAAACCUGAAGAGCUUGACCACUGCCUGUUUGUCUCUGCCUGAAGUCCUCACUUCCUGAAGAACCAAAACCGUGGGAUUAAAUUUCAAAAUCCAACUUCAGAAUAGAUUUGAAGUGAAUUGUAAUGAGAUGAUGGCACUUGGCUUGAUAAAAGAGUAAGACCACUGGGUGGUCACUGCAUGGCCAAUUCAUGGCCGCCAACCCUGUCGCUCUGGCUUCCUGUGCUACCCUCAGCUUCUACAGAGUGAACUUCUUCCAGGGCCGGCGCUGUGCUGUAGUGGGUAAAGCCACUGCCUGCAGUGCCAGCAUCCCACCCAUAGAAGCAACAGUUCAAGUCCUGGCUGCUCUACUUCCGAUCCAGCUCUCUGCUGUGGGCUGGGAAAGCAGUGGAAGAUGGCCCAAGUCCUUGGGCCCCUACACCAGUGUGGGAGACCUGGAGGAAGCUCCUGGCUCCUCGCUUCAGACUGGCCCAGCUCCAGCUAUUGCAGGCUUUUGGCUUCCUCUCUCCUCUCCAAAGUGGAAGAAGCUUCAGAUCUCUCUGGUUCAUUUCUCCCUCAGCUGCCUCCGAAACCAGGAGUGAGCGUGUCACCUAGCAACCAGGGCUCUGCUUCUGGAAACACAAGCCCCAGGACUGGCCAAGAGAGGAAAAUCUCCAGUGGGAAUCAAAAGUUUUAUCUUUGAACUAGAGUGCAGCCAAGCGUACAGCACCUAAUGAGACGCGGUGGCCAGGGCUGUCCUCCCAGACGGACUCCCAGCUCUCGGAGGCCCAGAGGCGGGGCCGAGUGGGGGAACAGCUUCAAGGGCAGCCUACACAGAAGCUCCGUGCUUUCCACUUGGACCUGGUCUGACUCCCCCGCUCCUCAACUCCUGUGUUAGCUGGUCUCUUGGGUCCUUACUGCUUCUUGUAGGUCAGGACUGAGAAGUCACAAGGCUCAAGACUUUACUCAAGGGUUUGGGCAAGCAGAUGCCGGACUCCCAGGAAGUCUUGCUCACUUGGACCUGAGCAGGAGCAUGCAAAACCACACAAGGGGCUCCCACGCCAUGAGGCUGGGGAGGACAUGAAUGCGUGCAGGUGUUCUGCGUCCACCGAUCAGCAGCAGAUAAGUGACCCCAAGACGGGAGAAGCUGGAGUCACUGAGAUUCUGAGACUGGCUGCCCUCAAGCAUCGGGUUCCAUUGGCAAAUCUGCUCCUACUACACAGUGACAGCAUCUUGCCUGGAAACAACACACAAUGCACACGCACACACGUGCACGUACACACACACACACACACUCCUCGUGGACUUCUUUGCUUUUCUUUCCCUUUCUCCAUGGGACUCGCUGUGCCAAUAGAAUAUCCCCAAGAAUGUCCCAAGUACAGGCCUCACAUGCUCUGUGGUGUCGCUUGCUCUCUUGCCCUCAGUCACAAAAAGGCAAGCCCCCCAGGUAGCUACCAGCUCCCAGAAGAACAGAGAUGUACUUUGCAGACAGAAACUUAACCAUGGCUCACAGUAGAGCUGUCUCCAGCCAACACCCAGGCCUGUGAAUGAGCAAAGUACGUGUUUGCUGUUGUGAGCCCCCUGCGUCGGGGGCCUUUGGCAAAGCAGCUUUAACCAUGGCAAUACCUGACCAAUGCCCUGCUCACUUCCCCCGGCCACAGCUUCCUCCUGGGUGUGCUGGUCCUGUUCUUGCCCAAGGCCAGGUGGGCCAACUUUUCCUUCAGUUUGAUGGGCCCUGCCGUAUCUUUCUAAUAAACCCCUCUCUGCGCUGAAGUCAGCUGGUACUGAGUUCUGUGGCUGUCACUCCAAGCACUGCUUGUCACGUUUGUCUACCAGACCUCCUUUCAGAACUGCCCACUCCUUGGGGUGAAUCCAGAGGCUUCCAUGGGUGAGCUGAGUGACCGCGUCUCGCCUUUUCCGGCCUUCUCCCCUUCUCCUCAGCUAGCCUCUGCAGCAUCCUACUGAGACUCCUUGUGCCCUGCAGGGGUUCCCCAUGUCCCUCCCUGGGAGACUUUGUACACAUCUGCUUUGCCUUUGUCACCUACCACCCUCUCUCCAUCUGCCACUGCUGAAGUCCUGUGCCCCUUUCAAACAGCACCUCCUCCAGGAACCCCUCCUGAUUUUGCCCUGGGAUGCCCUCUCUCCAGUUCUCUCUUCAGUGCCAGAAGCAGAGGUCCCUAGUCUGGAUGGUGCUCAUCUUCCCCUCCAGAAUGGCUGUAGGUUACUCCCUUACAAGAAGGGAACUCAUAAGGCCCAUCACUCAAGGGAGGCAGAGAAGACCCACAUCUUUUUGGAUCAUACUCAUCCCUUAGCAAGGGCAUCUCCUGGUAAGAGUCGAGGGCUCUGUAUUGCCUACUUUUGUGUCUGUAGUACCAAACUCAAGAAACAAAGGUGUACUCUAAAGUUGCUGGUUAUUUGAAUAAACAAAUGUCCAUCUCUUCUAAAGUCUUGGCCCAAAAAUACAUGAGACAUGUGUGAUUAGCCAUCUGAGACAGGACAAGGCCAUCCUCUACACGCCCUUUCCAAGGCUGAAGUUAGGUCCCUGGUAAGCCACAGACCAAACAGUAUUGGCAAACAUGCAAAUGAAGGAGCCAACACUUUGGGAAUUAACUCAGGGAUGCCUACUGCAACUGAUGGGACCUGUUGGCCCUGCUCACAGGUUCAGUCCACGUAACUCAUAACACGUAACUGAGGUCCCUGAAGAUCACACAGAGAAAACUGGGCAUCAGACCCCCAGGGGAGGGCAACUGCUGCCAUGGUUAAGAUGCUGCUUGGGAUGCCUGUGUCCUGUAUCAGAGUGCCGAGUUUGAGUCCUGUUUCCUUUGAUUCAUGAUCCAGCUUCCUGCUAACGCACACCCUGGGAGGCAGCAGAUGAUGGCUCAAGUACUUGGGUCUCUAUGACCCAUAUGGGAAACUCAUCCAGCCCGGAAUGCUGCAGGCAUUUGGGGAGUCAAUCAUCAGAUGGACGAUUCUCAUUCAUUCUCUCCCUCCCCCUCUCCCUAUCCCUUCUCAUUCGCAUUCUCUCUCUCCCUCGUGAAAUGAAAACAACAAAAAUUACUGAGAAAUCAGACCUCCAGACUGUUAGUUUUCCAUCACUUACAAGGAGUAGAAAUUUUGUGGCCCCGCAAGCUGAGUUUUCCCCCAGGUCUUCCUCCACAGCCUGUUGGUGGGGAGGGCAACACCAUUGUAGUGCCAACCUCCACAACCACAAAGACUGCUAGGCUAUGCCCAAGAUUUUCUUAAAAUAAUAGUGCUGCCUGCCUCCGUGGGCUGGCCAGCUGUCUCAGUACAAUCACUGCCUGAAUUACAAUUUCCUGCUCUUUAUUUAUGGAGUGAAUUGGUAUCACACUCACUGAUCACCUGUGUCCACCUCUGCCAGGUAGCCAGGACUUCAUCAGGCAGGGGAGAGACCCAGAGUGAAUGAAACCACGGGAGUACCAUGGGAUGGAACAGCCAAGGCUUCUGCAGCCAGAAAGUCCGAGUUCAAAUCCUGGCUCUGCCAUUUGCUGGCCUGGUGGCCUCUGUUUUCUCAUCUGUAAAAUGGGAGUGAGAAUAGCCCCACUCAGAGAGGUGGCCCGAGGCCCACACUGUGUCUGACACAUAGAGAUGGUCAGUAGGAGUUAAAGGCUGUCUGAGGUAGGGCUCCCCCAAAAGCAGAGCCUGAGACAAGGAGUUGAUUUGGGAGGUGACUCUAGGAGACACCAGCGUUAGGAGUGGAGAGGUGAGUCAUGGAGGGAAGGCAGAGAUGGAGGGCGCGCAGAAGCGUAGGCUGCCUCUGAGCAGCUGGAACUCAGUCCCACUGCGCAUCUCUGGGAGACAGCGUGGGGCAGGACCAGGGGUUGUCCCCUGGAAAAAGUGAGGAAGUGGGCGUAUUUCCCCACCACAGCUCCCACCCCAUAACCAGGAGGGAUGCUACAGGCAGGGCUUCACUUCCCAGCAUGGUUUCCCCCUCACACCAGCUCAGAGAGGCAUUUUUCAGGCAGCAAGUCACAGCUGCUUGUAACUCGGUGUCAAGCGGACCCCAUGCAUGGGAAUGGUCAGGGUGAGUCACACACAACACCUGGUACUAGGGCCCCAGCUCAUAGAAGGAAUCACAUUUGUGUUACCAGGUCAGAGCUUGGGCUAGAAUUGGGACACAAAAUCUCAACAUCAGGAGCUGGUGAGGGUGGUCCUGGAAGUUGGGAGUGGGCCUGGAAUGAGGUGAGGGUCCUGACAUCAGUCAGCAGUUGCCCUGUGUCCCUGGGUGCUGGCACAAUGUGUGACAGGUGGGCUUCCUCUCUGUUGGAAUAAGCUGGGACAAUUUGAGACGGUGUUGAGUCCUCAGGUCUUCUACAAGUUUAGAGGUACCUGUUCCACACACAGACCUUGACCUGGCAUUUGGGACAAGCUCUUUAGCUUUAGCUAGCAUGAAAGAUGGGGAGGGUGGGCAGAUCCCAGGAGAACUGUGGGUGGGGGGGAGAGUGGAAAAUCAAGGAGCCUUGGGUGUGAGAAAGGUGCUGAGUUGCAUGUGUAGGCUCCUGAGACACAGCCUCCCUGAGGGCCAGGGGACAUAAACUUCAGAGACAACUUCAGUGCCAGAAACUCCCACCGAGUUUGGAUGUGAGUAGAUUAUUUGAGUUCUCCAUGUGCACACACACACAUACACAUACACACAGCUUUGUAACUUCCAAAUGUGGAUCUGUUGAAAUGAGAGCACCUCAAAGUGCUCCAUCACCCUCUGGGAGAAAUCACCCAGGGAGAAGAUCUUUCAGAAGCUGUGCCCUCAAUGGGGCUUUCCUGGAGUUUACCAAUGUGUGAACUGAUUCUGUUUGUUAUCAUCAGAUUUAAUGAGAAUUCCCAUCAGUGCCCUUUUAGAGGGUACCAUUUCCUGAGAACCUCCCAUCUGCUAGAUAUCAUGAAUUUUAAAUCACCGUGCAUUGAAACUGCCCAAAAAUUCAGCUGUAAGAGGCAAAGGCACUGCACAGCAAACAAGCAGUAAGGCUGGGACUCGGCCCCGGAGUGUUCACAUUUCAAAGGCUGCUCUUCAAAUCAUUCAGUCCAAGUGCCAGGUAAUAUAUUUGAAAAUGAUUCCUUUUAGUGCUAAAAUAUGGUUCUUGAUUCUAUAGAACAAAUAAAAAUGCAGUGGAAAACCUUAACAACAGACUCAAUGAAGCAGAAGAAAGAUAUCCAAGUUAGACAAUAAAUCAAUGAAAAUUUUACAGUCAGACCAAACACAAGAAGAAAUUAUAAAACUAAAAAACACUGUUGAAGAUCUAUGGGAUACUAUCCAACGACCCAACAUACUGGCCUUAGGAGUUCCUGAGGCAUGGAAAGACUGAAUGGAUUAGAAUGCCUUUUUAGUGAAGUAAUAACAGAAAACUUCCCUAAUUCAGAGAAAGGCAUAUCUAAGUACCAGAAAAGAUCUUUGCCACGACAGGUUUUAAUCAGACUCUCCACAGUAAAACAUAAAGAUCUAAAAUGUGCACAAGAGAAACACUAGAUUACUUUCAGAGGAUCUCCAAUUAGACUCAUAGCUGGCUUUUCAUCAGAAACCCUACAGGCUAGGAGAGAAUACAGAAAUAUAUUCCAGGUCUAAAGAGAACAGAACUGUCAACCCAGAAUACUGUACCCUGCAAAGCUCUUAUUUAUGAAUGAAGGUGAAAUAAAGACCUUCCAUAACAAACAGAAAUGGAAAGAAUUGUUCAUGACCCGUCCAGCCUUACAAAAGAUGCUUAAGGAUGUGUACACACAGAAACACAGAAUCAUGGUCAUCACUAUGAAAGAAAGUAAAGGCACAAACACCUCCAGUGAAAGUACAAUGGGACUCCAAAGUAAACAAUAGGAUUAAUUAUGAGAAAGUGGCAGGGAAAAAUUGUUACUUAUCAAUAGUCACCUUGAAUGCAAAUAGCCUCAACUCUUCAGUUAAAAGAGACAGACUGGGGGGAGGAGCCAAGAUGGCAGUAUAGCAACAAGACAUUCUGAGUCUCGGGGGAAAAUAGAUUGUUAAUAAGGAAAGGGGAUAGGGGCUGGUGGCAGAGCCACUGCAGUUUCGUGUGGAGAAGCCCGGGAGUCCAGCAGAGACUGAGUAGCCCACACAGAAGGAGCAGAGUCACAGAAACACAGCAGAGGUGCGAUGGAGAAGCUGAAUGGGGCGACUGACGCCAUGCCCUCCCUCUCCCGGGUGGACCAGGUAAGACACGAGGUCUCAAAUCCGUGGAGCUGUGAUUAGCAGUGGGGGGAGAGCCAGGGGAACUCUGUUUGAAAUCCCAAGAGGGAAGAAUGGGGAAAAGAUGGAAAACUCGGCAUACCCCUGCCCAUCCACGUCUCCCCCAACCCCCAGCCACACCUGCUGCCAACUGGGAGAAGCCAUAUUGUCUGUUUACAUCUCUGAAUGUAAACACGGUGCUACCGUAUUUGCCUACUGUGCACACACCCACCUAUUGUGGGGCCACUUUACCACACACACUCCACCAGGAAACAAGGAUCGCAACAGUUCAGAGUAAUUUCUCCCCACCACCACCACACGAACUGUACAAUGGGGAGUAGUUCUAAACACUGAAAUCCCUAGCUCCUUCCACACACCAGAGCCUGGCCCAAGUAGGCGGGGCUUAGCGCAUCAGAGCUCUUCAAUCUGCCUCCACUGCCCCCAUCACCAUCCAGAAGUGAGCAGGACUUCCAGGGGUGGGAUUGCCUGUUUCCACUGGCAACACACAGACACAUAGCAGCUCACAGCAUAGGGGAAUCUCACCACAAACACCAAGACACAUAUUAAAGAUGACGAUAAAAUAAACCAGGAAUUCUGGGAAACAAGGGGAAAAAUUUUAAUAAGACUAAGGAAGAUAGUAUUAGCCCCAGAAUGGAACAUUACAUUACCUCUUCAGUAAUAGAAGCAGGACAAGAAGGGAUUAAAGAUAUGUCAGAAACAGAAUUUGGAAAAUUAAUCGUCAGAUUACUAAGAAGCAAUCAAAAACAUAUUCAAGACCUAAAUGAAAAGUGUUACCAAGAAACUGAGAUACUGAAGAAAAAUCAGAAUGAAAUUCUAGAUAGGAAGAAUUCAAUAGAGCAAAUAAAAAACCACAGUGGAUAGUCUCAAAAAUAGAAGAAAUGAGAAGAAUGACUAUCAGAACUAGAAGAUAAAUUUCUGGAUAUAACACAGUCAGACCAAACACAAGAAGAAGAAAUCAGGAAAUUGAAAUACACAGUUCAAGAUCUGCAAAAUUCUAUCAAAUUAUCCAACAUACAAACCCUAAGAAUCCCAAAAGGCAUCAAAACAGAGAAAGGAUUAGAAGGCCUUCUUAAUGAAAUAAUAGCAGAGAAUAUCCCCCUUCUGGAGAAAGAAACAGACAUCCAAGUUCAAAGGUACACAGAAUUCCCAAUAGACACGACCAGGAAAGAUCCUCCAUAGUGGCAAAGCUCUCCUCCGUAACACAUAAAGACAAGACCCUGGGGCCAGUGGCAUGACUAGUAUGUUAAUCCUCCACAUGCAGCGCCAGCAUCCCAUAUGGGCACUGGUUCUAGUCCCAGUUGCUCCUCUUUCAGUCCAGCUCUCUGCUAUGGCCAGGGAAAGCAGUGGAAGAUGGUCCAGGUGCUUGGGCCCCUGCACCCGCAUGGGAGAUCAAGAGGGGGCACCUGGCUCCUGGCUUUGGAUCGUAGAAGCUCCGGCUGUUGAGGCCAUUUGGAGAGUGAGUCAACAAAGGAGGACCUUUCUCUCUGUCUCUCUCUCUCACUCUCUGUAACUCUACCUCUAAAAUAAAUAAAUAAAAUCUUUAAAAAAAAAAAAGACCCUAAAGUGUGCCUGAGUCAAACGCCAAAUCACAUUCAGAGGAAACCCAAUUAAACUCACCCCAGACUUCAUGUAAUCACAAACCCCACAGGCAAGGAGAGAAUGGCAAGACAUACUCCAAGUCCUAAGAGAAAAAAAACUGUCAACCCAGAUUACUUUACUCAUUUAUGAAUGAAGGAUAAAUACGGAUCUUCCACAGCAAACAGAAAUUGAAAGAAUUUGUAAGUACACACCCAGCCUAGGACACAUGCUCAAACACGUGCUACACACAAACAGGAACAGGAACAUCACUGAAAUAGCAGAUAACUACCCAGCAAAAGAACAAAUGAAAUCCAAAGUACAUAAACAGAACUAUUUACAGAAACAUGGCAGGGCAAAGUCGGUACUUAACAAUAGUAACACUGAAUGUAAAUGGUCUCAACUCCUCAGUUAAAAGACACAGACACGCUGAAUAGAUUAAAAAAGAAAACCCAUCUAUUUGCUGCCUACAAAAAAAUACAUCUUACCAACAAAGAUGCUCACAGGCUAAAAGUGAAAGGAAGGAAAAAAAUAAUCCAUGCUAACAGAAACCAAAAAAGGGCUGGGUGGCCAUCCUAAUACCAGACAAAAUAGGCUUUAACACAAAAACCAUCAAGAGAAACAAAGGAGGACACUAUAUAUUGAUCAAAGGAUCAAUUCAACAGGAAGAUGUGAGUGACUAUUAUAAAUGUAUAUGCACCUAGAAGGUGGCACCAUGGCAUAGGUUAAUCCUCUGCCUGUGGCGCCAGCAUCCCAUAUAGGCACUGGUUCUAGUCCUGGCUGCUCCUCUUCCAAUCCAGCUCUCUUUUGUGGCCUGGGAAAGCAGUAGAAGAUGGCCCAAGUGCUUGGGCCCCUGCACCCGCAUGGGAGAUCUGGAAGAAACUCCUGGCUCCUGGCUUCAGAUUGGUGCGGCUCCAACCGCUGUGGCCAUCUAGGGGGUAAACCAAUGGAAGGAAGACCUUUCUCUCUGUUUCUCCCUCUCACUUUCUGUAACUCCACAUCUCAAAAUCUUCUUUA
This is a non-coding RNA of Oryctolagus cuniculus (rabbit), 11772 nucleotides long. NCBI's taxonomy places the organism in Eukaryota, Metazoa, Chordata, Mammalia, Lagomorpha, Leporidae. The record is from RefSeq and is a predicted model, not a curated record.